UGGGGAAUAUUGCGCAAUGGGCGAAAGCCUGACGCAGCGACGCCGCGUGGAGGAUGACGCCCUUCGGGGUGUAAACUCCUGUUGCCCGGGACGAAUGGCGGACAUCGGUCCGCUUGACGGUACCGGGUGAGGAAGCACCGGCUAACUCUGUGCCAGCAGCCGCGGUAAUACAGAGGGUGCGAGCGUUGUCCGGAAUCACUGGGCGUAAAGGGCGCGUAGGGUGGGCGCGGUGCGCGUGCCGUGAAAGCCCGGGGCUCAACCCCGGGUCGGCGGUGCGAACGGCCGGGCUGGAGCGUACGAGAGGCAGGCGGAAUUCCGGGUGUAGCGGUGGAAUGCGUAGAGAUCCGGAAGAACACCGGUGGCGAAGGCGGCCUGCUGGCGUACGGCUGACACUGAGGCGCGACAGCGUGGGGAGCAAACAGGAUUAGAUACCCUGGUAGUCCACGCCGUAAACGAUGGGCACUAGGUGCGUGGGGGAGCGACCCCCUGCGUGCCGGCGCUAACGCAUUAAGUGCCCCGCCUGGGGA
RNAcentral lists this ribosomal RNA (527 nucleotides) under uncultured bacterium. RNAcentral's name for it is "bacterial SSU rRNA". It matches the Rfam family "Bacterial small subunit ribosomal RNA", at positions 355 to 879 of the family's 1533-position model. The record is from RNAcentral.